This 229-nucleotide ribosomal RNA is filed under the name uncultured bacterium. RNAcentral's name for it is "partial 16S ribosomal RNA". It matches the Rfam family "Bacterial small subunit ribosomal RNA", at positions 118 to 348 of the family's 1533-position model. The record is from RNAcentral.
UGAGCAACCUACCCUUGACACCGGAAUAACAGCUGGAAACAGCUGCUAAUACCGGAUACGACCUCCGAUGGCAUCAUCUGGAGGUGGAAAGCUCUGGCGGUCAAGGAUGGGCUCGCGGCCUAUCAGCUUGUUGGUGAGGUAACGGCUCACCAAGGCUUCGACGGGUAGCCGGCCUGAGAGGGCGACCGGCCACACUGGGACUGAGAUACGGCCCAGACUCCUAGGGAGG